GACGAACCGUGCGAACGUUGUUCGGACUCACUGGGCUUAAAGGGCGCGUAGGCGGGCUGCCAAGUCUGGGGUGAAAUCCCACGGCUCAACCGUGGAACUGCCUCGGAUACUGGCGGCCUCGAGGGAGGUAGGGGCGUGCGGAACUGUGGGUGGAGCGGUGAAAUGCGUUGAUAUCCACAGGAACUCCGGUGGCGAAAGCGGCGCGCUGGACCUCUUCUGACGCUGAGGCGCGAAAGCUAGGGGAGCAAACGGG
This 253-nucleotide ribosomal RNA is filed under the name uncultured bacterium. RNAcentral's name for it is "partial 16S ribosomal RNA". It matches the Rfam family "Bacterial small subunit ribosomal RNA", at positions 524 to 776 of the family's 1533-position model. The record is from RNAcentral.